RNAcentral lists this ribosomal RNA (232 nucleotides) under uncultured bacterium. RNAcentral's name for it is "partial 16S ribosomal RNA". It matches the Rfam family "Bacterial small subunit ribosomal RNA", at positions 99 to 334 of the family's 1533-position model. The record is from RNAcentral.
CGGACGGGUGAGUAAUGUCUGGGAAACUGCCUGAUGGCGGGGGAUAACUACUGGAAACGGUAGCUAAUACCGCAUAAUGUCUACGGACCAAAGCGGGGGACCUCCGGGCCUCGCGCCAUCAGAUGAACCCAUAUGGGAUUAGCUAGUAGGUAAGGUAACGGCUUACCUAGGCGACGAUCCCUAGCUGGUCUGAGAGGAUGACCAGCCACACUGGAACUGAGACACGGUCCAG